Molecule: long non-coding RNA, 817 nt
Filed under: Ursus maritimus (polar bear)
Lineage: Eukaryota; Metazoa; Chordata; Mammalia; Carnivora; Ursidae
Description: lncRNA (ENSUMAG00000012622.1)
Source: RNAcentral
GGCCAGCAGCUGGGUGGCCGUGGGGGUGUGGGGAGCCCAGGGGGCAGGGGUGCAGGGGUGAUCUGUGGGACAGGGAGGUGCCGACGGAGCCUCCCAGCACAGCACCGCCUCCGGGCGAUGUAGGAAGGACGCUGGUGGGGAAGACGGGUCUGAGGUGUUUGAAGGACACCAGGUGGACGGUUACUAUAAAGGUCUGAAGCCCACGACAGGGCGCUGAGAUCGUUUAGGAGCGGAUCCCGGGAAAUGAGAGCAAAAGGACUGAACCUCAGGAACCUGGACGGUUGUGAUGCUGGCUAACGGAGAAGAUCCUGGGAAGGAAACCUGAAAGCGAAGAGCAGGGGCACAUGGACACUUUCUGCCCUCUGGAGGGAGGAAGGGUGCUGGUGGAAGAUAUCUGAAAGAAGUAACUGCACUUGGAAAUUGACCUAUGCACAGCACAGAAGCUGAAGGAGAAGAGGGACACCAAGCAGAGAAAUGUGGAGUUAAAAUUUCUGCUAAAUGUGCCACAAAGUGCUGCCUUGUCUCCCUCCCAUUCUUCUCAGUCCUUAUUAUAUAAUUCAAGGUCAUGAAUAUUCCAUUUGAAGGGUUCCUGAUCUGACCCAAAGACCUGCAUGAGCCCUGGAACAAGCAUUUUUCUCUUUCCUCAGUCCCAGAGGCUGGUUCUGGGACAGACUUCAGGCUCCCAAGAGGAUGUUACUGCCAAGUAAUUGCUCUGAAACUAGUUUCUAUAGUUGUUCUCGUGGAUUCCAUGCACAAUUUCCCUUCUUGUAGUUCCAUAAAUAAUAAAAAGCCAAUGUUACUGUCUGUUUUCUCUUAA